CAGUCGCCACGGUAAUACGGGGGGGGCAAGUGUUAUUCGGAAUGACUGGGCGUAAAGGGCACGUAGGCGGUGAAAAGGGUGGAAAGUGAAAGUCGCCAAAACACUGGCGGGGUGCUUUCUUGACCAUUUCACUUGAGUGAGAUAGGGGAGAGUGGAAUUUCGUGUGGAGGGAUCAAAUCCUAAGAUAUACGAAGGAACGCCAACCGCGAAGGCAGCUCUCUGGGUCCCCACUGACGCUGGGGUGCGAAAGCAUGGGGAGCAAACAGGAUCAGAGCCCCGGUAGUCCCUGUCUCUUAUACAC
This 301-nucleotide ribosomal RNA is filed under the name uncultured bacterium. RNAcentral's name for it is "partial 16S ribosomal RNA". It matches the Rfam family "Bacterial small subunit ribosomal RNA", at positions 509 to 809 of the family's 1533-position model. The record is from RNAcentral.